Molecule: ribosomal RNA, 389 nt
Filed under: uncultured bacterium
Lineage: Bacteria
Description: bacterial SSU rRNA
Rfam family: Bacterial small subunit ribosomal RNA
Source: RNAcentral
AUUGAACGCUGGCGGCAGGCCUAACACAUGCAAGUCGAGCGUGAAAGGGCUUCGGCCUGAGUAAAGCGGCGGACGGGUGAGUAACGCGUAGGAAUCUACCUGGUAGUGGGGGAUAACGUUCCGAAAGGGACGCUAAUACCGCAUACGUUCCGAGGAAGAAAGCGGGGGAUCGCAAGACCUCGCGCUAUCAGAUGAGCCUGCGUCCGAUUAGCUAGUUGGUGGGGUAAAGGCCUACCAAGGCGACGAUCGGUAACUGGUCUGAGAGGAUGAUCAGUCACACUGGAACUGAGACACGGUCCAGACUCCUACGGGAGGCAGCAGUGGGGAAUAUUGGACAAUGGGCGCAAGCCUGAUCCAGCCAUGCCGCGUGUGUGAAGAAGGCCUCGGUU